GAGUUUGAUCAUGGCUCAGAUUGAACGCUGGCGGCAUGCCUUACACAUGCAAGUCGAACGGCAGCACGGGAGCUUGCUCCUAGUGGCGAGUGGCGAACGGGUGAGUAAUGCAUCGGAACGUAUCCUGGAGUGGGGGAUAACGUAGCGAAAGUUACGCUAAUACCGCAUAUUCUGUGAGCAGGAAAGCGGGGGACCUUCGGGCCUCGCGCUCUUGGAGCGGCCGAUGUCGGAUUAGCUAGUUGGUGAGGUAAAGGCUCACCAAGGCGACGAUCCGUAGCAGGUCUGAGAGGAUGAUCUGCCACACUGGAACUGAGACACGGUCCAGACUCCUACGGGAGGCAGCAGUGGGGAAUUUUGGACAAUGGGGGCAACCCUGAUCCAGCCAUGCCGCGUGAGUGAAGAAGGCCUCGG
This 411-nucleotide ribosomal RNA is filed under the name bacterium enrichment culture clone ALO1_GLFRUDD03HDHFE. RNAcentral describes it as "bacterial SSU rRNA". It matches the Rfam family "Bacterial small subunit ribosomal RNA", at positions 9 to 420 of the family's 1533-position model. The record is from RNAcentral.